RNAcentral lists this transfer RNA (77 nucleotides) under Bacillota bacterium. RNAcentral describes it as "Firmicutes bacterium (anaerobic digester metagenome) tRNA-Pro". It matches the Rfam family "tRNA". From Rfam's summary of the family: Transfer RNA (tRNA) molecules are approximately 80 nucleotides in length. Their secondary structure includes four short double-helical elements and three loops (D, anti-codon, and T loops). Lineage: Bacteria; Bacillati; Bacillota. The record is from RNAcentral.
CGGGGCGUGGCGCAGCUUGGCAGCGCGCUUGGUUUGGGACCAAGAGGCCGCGGGUUCAAAUCCCGCCGCCCCGACCA